CGCAAAUUACCCAAUCCUGACUCAGGGAGGUAGUGACAAGAAAUAACAACACUGGAAAUUUUAUUUCUAGUGAUUGGAAUGAUGGGAAUUUAAACCCCUUUCAGAGUAACAAUUGGAGGGCAAGUCUGGUGCCAGCAGCCGCGGUAAUUCCAGCUCCAAUAGCGUAUAUUAAAGUUGUUGCAGUUAAAAAGCUCGUAGUUGGAUGUCUGCUGGAAGCAAUCAGUCCGCCCUAUUUGUAGGGUGUGCACUUGAUGAAUUCUGGCAUCUAUAUCCCAAUAAUAUGAUGGUGUAUACCCUGUGUACACCCAUCUAUAUUGGGAUAAUACCGUUACUUUGAGAAAAUUAGAGUGUUUGAAGCAGGCUAAUUGCCUUGAAUACUGCAGCAUGGAAUAACAAUAUAGGAUUUCGGUUCUAUUUUGUUGGUUUCUAGGACUGAAAUAAUGAUUAAUAGGGACAGUUGGGGGCAUUCGUAUUUAACUGUCAGAGGUGAAAUUCUUAGAUUUGUUAAAGACGAACUACUGCGAAAGCAUUUGCCAAAGAUGUUUUCAUUAAUCACGAACGAAAGUUAGGGGCUCGAAGACGAUCAGAUACCGUCGUAGUCUUAACCAUAAACUAUGCCGACUAGAGAUAGGAAAAUGUCAUUUUUCUGAGUUCUCCUGCACCUUAUGAGAAAU
Molecule: ribosomal RNA, 674 nt
Filed under: Sarcocystis cruzi
Lineage: Eukaryota; Apicomplexa; Conoidasida; Eucoccidiorida; Sarcocystidae
Description: SSU rRNA
Rfam family: Eukaryotic small subunit ribosomal RNA
Source: RNAcentral